RNAcentral lists this ribosomal RNA (640 nucleotides) under Byssomerulius corium. RNAcentral's name for it is "eukaryotic LSU rRNA". The stretch from base 251 to 404 matches the Rfam family "5.8S ribosomal RNA". Lineage: Eukaryota; Fungi; Basidiomycota; Agaricomycetes; Polyporales; Irpicaceae. The record is from RNAcentral.
AAGUAAAAGUCGUAACAAGGUUUCCGUAGGUGAACCUGCGGAAGGAUCAUUAUCGAGUGUUCUGAACGGGUUGUCGCUGGCCUUUCACGAGGCAUGUGCACGCCUGGCUCAUCCACUCUCAACCUCUGUGCACUCUAUGUAAGAAAUGGUGGACGUGCUGGCUGUUUGAGCUGGCAAGGAAGCCUUUUCUUAUGUUUUAUUACAAAUGCUUCAGUUAUAGAAUGUUUACUGUGUAUAACACAAUAUAUACAACUUUCAGCAACGGAUCUCUUGGCUCUCGCAUCGAUGAAGAACGCAGCGAAAUGCGAUAAGUAAUGUGAAUUGCAGAAUUCAGUGAAUCAUCGAAUCUUUGAACGCACCUUGCGCUCCUUGGUAUUCCGAGGAGCAUGCCUGUUUGAGUGUCAUGGAAUUCUCAACUCCCUAUUUUGAUUAAUGGGCGAGCUUGGACUUGGAGGUCAUGUUGGCUCUUGUAGUCGACUCCUCUUAAAUGUAUUAGCGUGAAUCUUACGGAUCGCCUUCAGUGUGAUAAUUAUCUGCGCUGUGGCGUGAAGUAUUUCAUAGUUCGUGCUUACAAUCGUCUCUUGCGAGACAACUUUGACAAUCUGACCUCAAAUCAGGUAGGACUACCCGCUGAACUUAA